Molecule: ribosomal RNA, 439 nt
Filed under: Campylobacter gracilis
Lineage: Bacteria; Pseudomonadati; Campylobacterota; Epsilonproteobacteria; Campylobacterales; Campylobacteraceae
Description: bacterial SSU rRNA
Rfam family: Bacterial small subunit ribosomal RNA
Source: RNAcentral
AGUGAACGCUGGCGGCGUGCCUAAUACAUGCAAGUCGAACGGAAUUUAAAAGAGCUUGCUCUUUUAAAUUUAGUGGCGCACGGGUGAGUAAUAUAUAGCUAAUCUGCCCCUUGCUGGAGGACAACAGUUAGAAAUGACUGCUAAUACUCCAUACUCCUUUUUACCAUAAGAUAAAUCGGGAAAGAAUUUCGGCAAGGGAUGAGACUAUAUCGUAUCAGCUAGUCGGUGGGGUAACGGCCUACCGAGGCUAUGACGCGUAACUGGUCUGAGAGGAUGAUCAGUCACAUUGGAACUGAGACACGGUCCAAACUCCUACGGGAGGCAGCAGUAGGGAAUAUUGCGCAAUGGGGGAAACCCUGACGCAGCAACGCCGCGUGGAGGAUGACACUUUUCGGAGCGUAAACUCCUUUUGUUAGGGAAGAAAUAAGACGGUACCUAA